Molecule: ribosomal RNA, 572 nt
Filed under: uncultured bacterium
Lineage: Bacteria
Description: bacterial SSU rRNA
Rfam family: Bacterial small subunit ribosomal RNA
Source: RNAcentral
AUUCCUACGGGAGGCAGCAGUGGGGAAUUUUCCGCAAUGGGCGAAAGCCUGACGGAGCAAUCUCGCGUGAGGGAUGACGGCCUAUGGGUUGUAAACCUCUUUUUUCAGGGAGGAAUAAAAUGACGUGUACCUGAAGAAUAAGCAUCGGCUAACUCCGUGCCAGCAGCCGCGGUAAGACGGAGGAUGCAAGUGUUAUCCGGAAUCACUGGGCGUAAAGCGUCUGUAGGUGGUUUAGUAAGUCAACUGUUAAAUCUUGAAGCUUAACUUCGAAAUCGCAGUCGAAACUGCUAGACUAGAGUAUAGUAGGGGUAAAGGGAAUUUCCAGUGGAGCGGUGAAAUGCGUAGAGGUUGGAAGGAACACCGAUGGCGAAGGCACUUUACUGGGCUAUUACUGACACUCAGAGACGAAAGCUAGGGUAGCAAAUGGGAUUAGAUACCCCAGUAGUCCUAGCCGUAAACAAUGGAUACUAGAUGUUGAACAGAUCGACCUGUGCAGUAUUAAAGCUAACGCGUUGAGUAUCCCGCCUGGGAAGUAUGCUCGCAAGAGUGAAACUCAAAGGAAUUGACGGAAU